GGAGCGGCGGCGCGGCGGUGCCGCAGGAAAUUUUAUCAAUACCGUGGCCGUCUAGUGGGUGACAGUCGCUCGUGAAAAGUACGCGGUCAUCUGACGGGGUUGGCAAGUCAGCGGAUAGCUCUAGUUCGGGAAACCAACAGCGAUUGACGAACAACAUGGCCACCGAAGGCGGUCUAGCACCUGAUGCUGCUGCGGGUGCAGGUGCAGGUUCUGAUGGAAUCGUCGGAGGUCCCAGGACGCCUCAGCAGAUCGCCUCGCAGAAACGACUGCAGGCGACGCAGGCGCAGGUAGACGAGGUCGUUGACAUCAUGAAAACGAAUGUUGAAAAAGUGUUGGAACGUGAUCAAAAGCUCUCUGAGCUCGAUGAUCGAGCAGACGCGCUUCAGCAAGGAGCGUCACAAUUUGAACAACAAGCAGGAAAACUGAAGAGGAAGUUUUGGCUACAAAAUUUGAAGAUGAUGAUCAUCAUGGGCGUCAUCGCACUAAUCAUAUUGGCCAUCAUAGUUGCGAACUUCAUGUAGACGCGCUGGUUGGUGGAAAAGAUUUGUGUGUGAGUGGGUCUGAAGCGAGCGCCAUCGGCGGCAGCGACUCGCAAAACUGUACACGUGAGUAAAAUUAAGGCAACAACAACAACAGCAAAAAAAAAACAGAAAACAAAAGCAACCAAAGCGAAACGAAGGCGAGCGAACAAACGGCGGGGAAUUUGAACGUGUGAGACGAGUUUGAGACUGCGUUACAAUAAAAGAAAAAUAGGAUGGAAAAGGAUACACGCAAUCGAUGAGCAACAAGUAACAGCAACAAUAGCAAAGCAACAAUAAGGAAAAAUUGUACGAUAAGAUCGAAAUAACCUAAAGAAGUGGAGGAACAGUGGUAAUAACGAGCCAUCGAUGAGAGUACCGAUUAUCGAUAGAGGUUCUUCGACCUUCCAAGUUCGACAAAACUCAAAAAAUAAAAUCAGGAAAAAAGAAAGAAGCGAAGAAUAAAUUGAAAUGUAAAGGAUAUGUUAUAUCGAGGAAGAGAAGAUCGAAGAAGAAGAGAUCAUAACGAUUGCGGUUCCGUUUGCAAUUCCGCCAUCAUGUUCGAGAUCCAAAACGAUGCUUUCGAUUCGAACACGACAGUAGACUCGAUCAAAUUCAUUUUGUCAACGUUUCACAAAUGGACGAAGGCCGGCCGCGAAAAGAGGAAACGCACGAUAAAAAGAGCGAAUGGUUUACAAUUAGAAAGUUUCGUCGAUCGUUCGUCUAAGCAUUGUAACGGUUACAUCGACCGAUAGCAAAGCGGAAAAAGGGUGAUCGUACGGAAUAGAGAGGAAGAGGAUGUAAUAACUGAUCUAAUAAUUAAUCGAUUCUUGCCUUCCUUCGUCCAUCCUUAUGAGCUAAUCCGCGCUAAAUAAAUGAAUAAAGGAGAGAGAAUAAGGAGAGAGAAUUAAUGGCCAGUGUGUACAAAGAGAAGAAGGGAGUUAGAGAGAAGAUGAGGAAUUAUCGCGAUACAGGGUGUCCGUAAAAACUAGCAGGAUCUUUUCGACGAAGGCAGCGUGUCGUAGGGAAUUUUCAUUGUGUCCCCCUUCCUUCCGUAAAGAAGUGCCGAAUAUAAAUAAAUAAAUAAAUGUGUGUAUAAAUGUAUAUCGACGUUUACUUUAUAAAUAAAACAUGUAUGGCGAGUUACGAGGAAGAGCGUACGAUCCAGGAGAGAAAUCGUGAGAACGCGGAUCUUCCAUCGUUCCAAACCAUUUUGUGAUUCUGCUUCGAGACUCGGGCUUGUACAACGAUAGAACGAAAUCAUCCGUUGUUCGAUGAUUCUUGUCCAUCUCUUCCAAUCUUUACAAUCAUGUAAUCUUUAUUGUUAAAGCUUCUCAUUGUCGAGAUCUCGCUGUGUUUCCUUUCCGAUCGUUUCAUUCGUUUUUAAAAGAUGUUUCAUGAUAAAAUGUAUGAAUUAGGAUUAAGCACAAGGGAAAAUGACGAAUAUCGGUAGGACUUUUACGCUUCUGAAUAUCAAUUAAAAGUGGAAAGAUCGGCCAUAUCACGCGUGGAUCGUACGCUCUGCUUGUAACAUAUAUGUACAUCUCGUAUUGUAAAUAAUAUCAUUUCUCCUUCAUGUUCGUUCGAUUACGACCAACUGCUAAUAAUUAAAUAAACGACUCGAAAACAAGAGAAGAAAGAAAGAUAUAUGAUAACACGGUGAAAAACUAUGCAAGAUAGUGAUCGUGAUAGCGAGAGAGUAAAAAACAGAGCGAAAGGGAGAUCGAGAGAAAGAAAGAGAGUCACGUGCAUUCUUUGUUCUUUCGCGUCCGUUAUCCUUCCAUCUAAUCGGAGAAUUAAAUAAGUAGAAGAAGCCUGCCUUCGUCGAAGAUGGCAACGAAAUGUUUUCGAGCAACCUGUGCGACGAAACGAAAAGGCGGACAAGAUUAAAGAACAAAAAUAAAGAGCGGAAAAGAAAUAAAAAAAGGAAAUAAAUACAAGAAAAUAUGGAAUAAAAUAAUGCUAUGAGCGAGAAAAGAGAGAGACGCAUCGACUUGCUCGAGGCACCUAUGUAGGUUCGUUUUAAGGCUUGAAGAAUUAUCUUCAAAUGUUAUGUAUACAUGUUAAUAAUAAUAAUAAUAAUAAUAAUAACAAUAAUAAUAACAAUAACAAUAAUAAUAAUAAAUAAUAAUAAUAAAUAAUAAUAAUAAUACUAAUAAUAAUAAUAAUAACGAUAAUAAUAAUUAUGAUAAUAAUAACAACAAUAACAAUAAUAAUAGUGCAGGAUAAUAUUUAACAAGAUAAAAACCGUGCAAUGUGACCACCGUGGAAUCUAUUGGCCAUUUCGAAGAAACGAAACAAAACGGAAAAGAUACAGGUAUGGAGUGUCGUCGAUGAUCUAAGACAAUGUUACGAAGUCUACUCUAUGCACAGAAAUGUGAAAAAGUUUAAAGGCUGUUGUUGCAGAAGACGUUUUUAUUAUAUUGCAGCACACUUAUGCACUUCAUUUGUAGAAUUUCUACUUGACUGCUUACGUACUUACGUGCUUAGCGUAUGACUAUUUACAACGUACAGAAGUGCAUUUCUAGGAUCAUUUGAAAUACUUGUAACAAGUUUGAAUUUAUAGCCUUUUUCAACUUGAAACAGCUACACUCGCGGACUACGAGCUUUCGACAUUUUCAGAGAAACAUUUUUGUGUAUAGAGACGAUUUUGACUGAAAUGCGUCAUCGUUCUUCGUCGGCACUUCGUACAUGGUUGCACAGAGGAAACGAUAUCCUCAAAGUUUCUCAUCAGCCAACCACUAUAUACGAAAGAAAGAAUCCGAUGAAAGGAAGCGCAUUCAACGGCAUGACUUCUCAGGCAGCUCGAGGAAGUCGUCGAUGGUUUCCUUUUCAUUUCACUCGUUUACUCUUGUGUGCAUCCGUGUUCAUUCAUCGAACGAACGAACCAUUCCAAUUUUGGUAUUUAGAAUCCAUCGAGUCCCUUCCUCCGCGUAUAUCCGUUUUACUUCUAAAAGAAUUCAUUCAUUUGGAGAAAAAGAAAAUGAAAUGAUCGAAUAAUCAGCUACGAAAUCGGACUUCUUCCAAAUUCCUCUGUCAGUGGAAGCAAUUGUUUCUUUUCCUUCUUUCUGACGAGAUUCUAAUGAUUCGUUGAAACUACGCGAAGAAGGGGACCAGAAGUUGUUAAACGCAGAAUAGCAAGCAUUAUCGAUCGUUGGGGGAGAAGGAGUUUCAGAUAGGAUUCUUAUUCGAAUCCGAAAUCAUAGCGUUUAAAUAUGGUUAGAUUGUGUUUGAAAAAGGAAAAAAAAGAAAGAAAUAUAAAACGCAUAACUGUACGUCAUGCGAUACCUUGACCGUGUGCGUGUUAAUUAUUAACGACGAUUAUGAUCAUGAUUAUGUUGCUUUCAACAUUGUACAGUAUCGAAUAAAAAUUACAGUGCGUGGUCAGAAAAGAAACAGACAGCUGUAGGGAGCAAACGGAAAGAAAAAGAAGUGGAAACUUCCUAUGCGACUCUGUUUUGGGUACGAUCGUGUUAGGGAUGCCUUUUUGUCAUUUUCUAUUUUCCUUUGCUUUCACGUUCGACGAAAUUCCACCUCGAAGACACUGUUCUUCUAAUAACGAGAAAUACGAGGUUCGGAAUUUCGAUCACGGUCGUGGCCAGAAAAAGUCGACGUUAAUCGAUUGAAGUUGUCAACCUAGAAAAAUAUCUCACCGUUAGCCACGGAGAAAAGGAACCAUUUAGAAUCUAAUACCUAUUUAACUCCAAUAGGAGCGAAAUUCAUGCCAGAAUCGACACCACCGCCUCCAGCCUAUGCCUACCCACCACCAAAUCAGAUUCCAGGCCAAGUUGUCGCCGCUGGCGGACCAGCCGCUGCACCAGGAGGUGUAGCCGGCGGAGCAGGUAGUGCAAGCGGAUCACAAACCGCUGGUGCAGCGUUAGUUGGCAACUUGAACGGCAUUCACA
Molecule: RNA transcript, 4423 nt
Organism: Bombus terrestris (buff-tailed bumblebee)
Lineage: Eukaryota; Metazoa; Arthropoda; Insecta; Hymenoptera; Apidae
Gene: nSyb
Gene name: vesicle-associated membrane protein 2
Exons: 7
Source: RefSeq, a predicted model, not a curated record